Siniperca chuatsi (mandarin fish) is the source of this 516-nucleotide long non-coding RNA. RefSeq lists it as uncharacterized. The record is from RefSeq and is a predicted model, not a curated record. The transcript is spliced from 3 exons. Lineage: Eukaryota; Metazoa; Chordata; Actinopteri; Centrarchiformes; Sinipercidae.
GGUAUUGUGCAGUCUCUGGUGUUGUGGUACAGUCUGUAGAAAUGUUUUCUGCACUUUGGGUUGAAGUAAAGAGGACCUGAGGACAGAACGAAACGCUUCAGAAUACUGGACUCUGAUUGGACGGAAGGUGUGACACAGACACAGUUUUGAGAGAGGACCAGUUGACAUGCCGCUGCAACAGACGCAACUGCUGCAAAGCGAAAUGGCGCUUACGCCCAUCGGCGAAACCUAUUCGGCACGUGCAGACAACCAGCCAGAAAACACACGUUUAGAAAGUUCACGUGAAUUGAUCUGAAGCCUCAGCACCAAAUUAACCACCAUGCAGCUGCUCGAUGUCCUCGCCCGGCAGCCACACGUGUCCUGGUUUCAGUCCUCAACCAGGCAUAAAUAAAAAGCCUCAUAAAUAAAAUGUCUUGUGUCUUGCUUCUCAGAGCUUGAAAGGAAAAACAUAAUAAUAAAAAUAAUAACCACUUGAUAUUCUGUUAUUCCUCCAGGACAGACACACUGCUGCAUCAU